This 98-nucleotide ribosomal RNA is filed under the name Acanthosepion pharaonis. Lineage: Eukaryota; Metazoa; Mollusca; Cephalopoda; Sepiida; Sepiidae. The record is from RNAcentral.
AUUGAAACACCGGUCCUCGUGCGAUCACCGAAGUUAAGCAACGUUACGUCUGGUCAGUACCUACAAAGGUGACCGCUUAAGAAUACCAGGUAUUGUAU